Mercenaria mercenaria is the source of this 1390-nucleotide long non-coding RNA. RefSeq lists it as uncharacterized. The transcript has 2 exons. The record is from RefSeq and is a predicted model, not a curated record. Lineage: Eukaryota; Metazoa; Mollusca; Bivalvia; Venerida; Veneridae.
CAUCUAUAUUUACUUAUCUAUAUUUAGACUUGUGGAAACCAGUUAGGGUUAUUUUUAGACGCAUUCGUAAUAUAUAUUAGUAGUCCUGUUGGCAAUCGCAACACAUUACCAGAGAAGACAGAACUGAAGGUUUUGAACCACGCUACUUGAAACUGAAUCAUUUUUUUAGGAUUAAUCUAGGUUGAGUAAGGAUGGCUGCAAAUGUACCAUAUACGUACCUGUACCGAGUAUUAAGGACGGACGAAGAUGUUUCUGGCGGGAUUCGAGCGAAAAGACCCAUGGCAAAUUACACAAUUGAAGAACAUGUUGCAAACGGUUCUUACAAGUCGACCCAGUUCAUAUCUACAACGGCGUCUUUGGAGUCUGCUAAAGACUUUGCAAGGAAGAGCUUUGGUUAUACGCCAGGAUCUCGAAAUGUUGCUAGAAUUGAUACAACCAGACUUGGUCAGAGUGUUCAAUAUACAGACCUCACUAAUUCAACAGUAUUGUACGGACAAAUACCAGACGAUGCACGAGCACAAAAUUUUGCUCGAAAGUUUAAUGAAGUGGUCAUUACCGGACAUAUUCCUGCAAAUUGCAUAGACAGAAUAUUUAGUGUGUGAAGUGAAUACGACCAGUGACAGUGUGCCAGUGCGUUUUAAUCCACGUAAUACACCGUUAUGAAAAGGAUCAAUCUUUCUAAUUGAGCCCUGGGAACACUGGCUGACAAUUUUUAGCUUUCGUCUGUUUUAUGAAAAUGAACAUAAAUUGGUGUUUCGGUAUCAUUUUUGAUGGAUUAAACUUAAAUCAUAGACGACAUUCUAGGCCAGACUUACAUAAUAGAUGUGGAAAGAUGUUCAAUCUAUAUUAAAAGCACUACAUGUUGUUUUGCCAAACGCCUCGAUAAUCAAUUAACUAGUAUAAACGUUUAUAUAAUAAUUGGCUAGUAUAAACGUGUAUGUUAUACCGACUCGUGCUUUAGUUUUUUUAUCUGUUGAUGUUUCAUUAUUUAGAAAUUCCUUUUUAUUUAAAAAUUGAAGACAAGACAAUCUUACAAUGUUACUUUUUAAGACUAUCUAAUUUAUUUAUAUAUUUAUUUUAUAUUUAGUUGCAUUUGUUUCCCAUAUUUUUAAUAUGUUAUGACAUAAAAACAGUUUCUUCUUAUAUUUUUUUUAUAUAAAAAUUCCUUUGUAAUAGAUAUGUGUGCUAGAAUUUUAUUUACUACGAAACACGGGAUGUUGUUGUUCUUUGCUAUGAUUGUUCAUGUGUCCUAAAUCACAUGGUGCUAAUGAUGUAAUUUAUAUUUUAAUUCCAAUAUAGCAAAGAAAGCGGUACUUUUCUGAUGUAUUUUGUUCUAUUAAUGAGUUUAUGUAAGACAGUUAACAUAUUCUGAAAUAAAAAGUUCAAGUUC